UAAACUUCCGGCCUUGGCUGUAGAUCCUGUUCUACCGUCCAGACUGGGUUUAGCUAAACUGCGUGUGCAGGUUGGCUCGGGCUUUGAGCGACUGUGCGUCGCAGCGAAUGGCUAGGGACCUGAUCGGGCCGGCACUGCCGCCAGGCUUCAAGGAGCACGCGACGGUUGAGGACGAGGAGCGGGACCCGAGCCCGGUUGCAGGGCCAGCUCUGCCCCCUAAUUACAGAAGCUGCAGUUCAGACUCCUCAGACAGCGACGAGGACAGUAGUUCUUUAUCUGAAGAAGAUGACACUGGCCCAACUGCAAAAAAGCAGAGGCAAAAUCAAGACAGAGAUGACGAUGAUGACGAUGGUGGGUUUUUUGGACCAGCCCUUCCUCCUGGGUUUAAGAAGCAGGAUGACUCUCCUCCCAGGCCUUUAAUAGGUCCCGCAUUGCCACCUGGUUUCAUCAAGUCUUCACAGAAGAAUGACACAGGCAGAGAUGGUCCAGGGCAAGGGCCAUUUUUCUUCAACUCCGAGGAAGCAGAGAGCGGUGAAGAUGAGGAUAUUGUUGGACCAAUGCCUGCAAAAGGACCAGUUAACUAUAGCGUAACAGCAGAGUUUGAAAAAAGGGCCCAGAGAAUGAAGGAAAAAUUGACCAAAGGAGAUGAUGAUUCAUCUAAGCCAAUUACAAGAGAGUCGUGGAUGACUGAACUUCCACCGGAAAUGAAAGACUUUGGUCUUGGGCCAAGAACCUUUAAGAGAAGAGCAGAUGACAAAUCUGGAGACCGCUCGGUCUGGACAGACACCCCAGCUGACCGGGAAAGGAAAGCUAAGGAAAUACAAGAAGCAAGGAAGUCAUUCAGUAAGAAAGAUGAAGAGAACAUAUUGUCAGGAAGGGAUAGAAGACUGGCUGAGCAAGUAUCCUCAUACAAUGAGUCAAAAAGACCCGAAUCCCUCAUGGACAUUCAUCAUAAGAAGUUAAAGAAUAAGGCUGCUGAAGAUAAAAACAGGCACCAGGAGAGAAUACCAUUUGACCGUGAUAAAGACCUCAAGGUUAAUCGGUUUGAUGAGGCUCAGAAAAAAGCCCUAAUAAAGAAAUCCAGAGAACUGAACACCCGGUUUUCACACGGCAAAGGCAACAUGUUUUUAUAAGUAAGUGUGCUUCAGUGAGGUACACUUACACCGAUCAGCCUGAACUCCUCAGAAUAUACCUUUGCCGAUGGGAGGCAGUCUGAAGGAUGCUAUUCUCAUCUGCUGUCGUCCGUGUGAAGUCGAGGAUUCUUGUCUUCAUGGUCUCACCAAAGCCGUCUGCAUCUUGAAACUUCACUCGGGAUCAUCUGAUUCAUAUAUGUACAUAGCACUUCGUAUCUGGAUUACUGGAAUAUUAAUUCUGAAUGGCUUUUUUAAAUAAUGAAAUAACCACUGGAAAUGGGGAAUGUUUGCUCACAACCGCCCAGUGGGAGUAUUAUAUGCUUUAGUCUGUAAGCAGUGCCUCUCCAGCUGUUAAACAGACACUCCUAAAUAAGGAGAUAAAAGCUAAAUGCUAAUUCUGUGUGUUUCUUGCAGGUUUUCUUGUGCAGCUGACUUUGUAUUCCAGUUUUCACGAAGCAUAGCAUUUUAAUGGAAAAUUGUUUUGAUUCCCAAAUCAUGUAACCUUUAUAAAAAUUGGGCAAACUGUUCAAAUUGCAAUGUAAAGUAUUUCUUAGCAGUGGCAGACUUUUAGUACUGGUAAAUAGCCCAUUCAAGAACUGCUGCUUCUUAAAAUCAGAAUUAUUUUGAGUAAAUUGAAGAGGUUUCUUGUCCACAUAGAUUUGUACAGGCCUAACCUUUGGCUAAAGUGAGUGGGUUUCUGCAUUUAAAACUUUAUACAAGAGUAUUAAUUCUGACUAGGCAUGGUGAUGAAUGCCUUUAAUCCUAGCACUUGGGAGGCAGAGGCAGGCAGAUCUCUGUGAGCUCAAGGCCAGCCUGGACUACAGAGUGAGUUCCAGGACAGCCAGGGCCAUGUAGAGAGACCCUGUCUCAAAAAAAUAAAAAAGUAACUUUUAUUUUUAUAUAUAUAUAUAUUAAUAUAUACAUAUAAUUUCUGGACAUUCAUUGGCCUUACUUUCUCAGUGGAAGAAGACAGGAAUAUCUGUAAUAUGCUUACUGUCUCUUAUGGCCUCAGAUAAAGGACAGCCCACCAGAUAAAUGUAUUAUUUCACUGACACCUGGAGCCAGUGCUCUUUUCUGUCAUCCAGAUGGCAGUUGCAGUAAAGUAUACGCCAUUUCCAGGGGGCUCAGCCACAUGGAGACACAAAUCCCAAUUAAUGUGGACCAUAAAAAAUGAAGUAGCUGAGUGUAUUACAGAAAGGUGCACCUCGUGUCAUCCCAUCUUCCCAACAGCAGAGGCCUGCUCGCCCAGACAGUCAGAAACAGCAGAGGCCUGCUCGCCUAGACAGUCAGAAACAGCAGAGGCCUGCUCGCCUAGACAGUAAGAAACAGCAGAGGCCUGCUCGCCUAGACAGUCAGAAACAGCAGAGGCCUGCUUGCCUGGACAGUCAGAAACAGCAGAGGCCUGCUCCCCUGGACAGUCAGAAACAGCAGAGGCCUGCUCGCCCGGACAGUCAGAAACAGCAGAGGCCUGCUCGCCCAGACAGUCAG
Molecule: RNA transcript, 2621 nt
Organism: Apodemus sylvaticus (European woodmouse)
Lineage: Eukaryota; Metazoa; Chordata; Mammalia; Rodentia; Muridae
Gene: Gpalpp1
Gene name: GPALPP motifs containing 1
Exons: 9
Source: RefSeq, a predicted model, not a curated record